This is a transfer RNA of Ipomoea nil (Japanese morning glory), 94 nucleotides long. It matches the Rfam family "tRNA". From Rfam's summary of the family: Transfer RNA (tRNA) molecules are approximately 80 nucleotides in length. Their secondary structure includes four short double-helical elements and three loops (D, anti-codon, and T loops). Further hydrogen bonds mediate the characteristic L-shaped molecular structure. tRNAs have two regions of fundamental functional importance: the anti-codon, which is responsible for specific mRNA codon recognition, and the 3' end, to which the tRNAs corresponding amino acid is attached (by aminoacyl-tRNA synthetases). tRNAs cope with the degeneracy of the genetic code in two manners: having more than one tRNA (with a specific anti-codon) for a particular amino acid; and 'wobble' base-pairing, i.e. permitting non-standard base-pairing at the 3rd anti-codon position. Lineage: Eukaryota; Viridiplantae; Streptophyta; Magnoliopsida; Solanales; Convolvulaceae. The record is from Rfam.
CUGACCUUAGCUCAGUGGGUAGAGUGGUGGACUGUAGUUGGACUAAUUUAAAUUGGAAAUCCUUAGGUCGUUGUUUUGAUUCCGGCAGGUUGGA